This 253-nucleotide ribosomal RNA is filed under the name uncultured bacterium. Its description in RNAcentral is "partial 16S ribosomal RNA". It matches the Rfam family "Bacterial small subunit ribosomal RNA", at positions 524 to 776 of the family's 1533-position model. The record is from RNAcentral.
UACGUAGGUGGCAAGCGUUAUCCGGAUUUACUGGGUGUAAAGGGCGUGUAGGCGGGACUGCAAGUCAGAUGUGAAACCCAUGGGCUCAACCCAUGGCCUGCAUUUGAAACUGUAGUUCUUGAGUGAUGGAGAGGCAGGCGGAAUUCCGUGUGUAGCGGUGAAAUGCGUAGGUAUACGGAGGAACACCAGUGGCGAAGGCGGCCUGCUGGACAUUAACUGACGCUGAGGCGCGAAAGCGUGGGGAGCAAACAGG